UACGAAGGGUGCAAGCGUUACUCGGAAUUACUGGGCGUAAAGCGUGCGUAGGUGGUUUGUUAAGUCUGUUGUGAAAGCCCCGGGCUCAACCUGGGAAUGGCAAUGGAUACUGGCAGGCUAGAGUGCGGUAGAGGGUAGUGGAAUUCCCGGUGUAGCGGUGAAAUGCGUAGAGAUCGGGAGGAACACCAGUGGCGAAGGCGGCUACCUGGACCAGCACUGAGCACUGAGGCAC
Molecule: ribosomal RNA, 232 nt
Filed under: uncultured bacterium
Lineage: Bacteria
Description: partial 16S ribosomal RNA
Rfam family: Bacterial small subunit ribosomal RNA
Source: RNAcentral